This 858-nucleotide long non-coding RNA is filed under the name Equus asinus (donkey). RNAcentral's name for it is "lncRNA (ENSEASG00005023904.1)". Lineage: Eukaryota; Metazoa; Chordata; Mammalia; Perissodactyla; Equidae. The record is from RNAcentral.
AAUCACGACCUGUGUCUGUGUUGCCUCUGGGGGCUGGCCCAUGGCCAGUGGUUAAGUUCAUGAGACCCCCCUUCGGCGGCCAGGGGUUUGCUAGUUGGGAUCCUGGGCGCGGACCUACACACUGCUCAUCAAGCCAUGCUGAGGCAGCGUCCCACAUAGAAGAACUAGAAGGACCUACAACUAGAAUAUACAACUAUGUGCUGGGGCUUUGGAGAGAAAAAAAAAACCCUCACUCUUGUCCCAAAUCCUGAGGGAGCAGUGCUUCACUGCUUGUGAGGCCCGAGAUGAGAACAUCCAUGGAUUGUUCUCCCUUGAAUAAAGGACAUCAAAUGCACGUUGUUUUAGUUUUCUCAUUGACUGGACACAAUGGCAGAUGCCACUAUGGGACAAGACACUGAAGAAAGUCCUAUUACCUUCUUUUAGAGAACCAAAGAAGGAAAGGGGGUUUGCUUUAUUCCUGCCAAGGGACAGUCAGGUUAGUACUGUCAACCAUCAUGGUGGGAAAAUGGACAUGGACAACCCAGAGAGGCCAGCAGCCGACAGUCUGCAUAACUGAUAGGACCCGGCUGUGGACCCUAGGAGAGUCGAGGAAAGUCUUCCUUCUCCUACACUUUAUCCGGGGCAUCGAUUCCUUACCUUCUAUGCCUGGCUGUCUCCUCCACCACAUGCUUCAUCCUCAGGAUGAGAACUGCUUUAUGAAAACCAGAAGGCUGGAAAGUCUUGUCUAAUUUACACAGUCCCAGACAAUGAAUCUAAGAUGGAUAGAAGGAAGAAAGAAUUCUUUCCUCUCCUACCCCAGCAUUUGAGAAGACUAGAAAAGUUCAGAAGGAGAGGGCUGGCUGCCCCUGCUCCUAAUCU